GAUGAACGCUGGCGGCGUGCCUAAUACAUGCAAGUCGAGCGAACGGACGAGAAGCUUGCUUCUCUGAUGUUAGCGGCGGACGGGUGAGUAACACGUGGAUAACCUACCUAUAAGACUGGGGUAACUUCGGGAAACCGUAGCUAAUACCGGAUAAUAUUUUGAACCGCAUGGUUCAAAAGUGAAAGACGGUCUUGCUGUCACUUAUAGAUGGAUCCGCGCUGCAUUAGCUAGUUGGUAAGGUAACGGCUUACCAAGGCAACGAUGCAUAGCCGACCUGAGAGGGUGAUCGGCCACACUGGAACUGAGACACGGUCCAGACUCCUACGGGAGGCAGCGGUAGGGAAUCUUCCGCAAUGGGCGAAAGCCUGACGGAGCAACGCCGCGUGAGUGAUGAAGGUCUUCGGAUCGUAAAACUCUGUUAUUAGGGAGGAACAUAUGUGUAAGUAACUGUGCACAUCUUGACGGUACCUAAUCAGAAAGCCACGGCUAACUACGUG
RNAcentral lists this ribosomal RNA (497 nucleotides) under uncultured bacterium. Its description in RNAcentral is "partial 16S ribosomal RNA". It matches the Rfam family "Bacterial small subunit ribosomal RNA", at positions 28 to 507 of the family's 1533-position model. The record is from RNAcentral.